This 73-nucleotide transfer RNA is filed under the name Triticum aestivum (bread wheat). It matches the Rfam family "tRNA". Rfam says of the family: Transfer RNA (tRNA) molecules are approximately 80 nucleotides in length. Their secondary structure includes four short double-helical elements and three loops (D, anti-codon, and T loops). Lineage: Eukaryota; Viridiplantae; Streptophyta; Magnoliopsida; Poales; Poaceae. The record is from Rfam by way of RNAcentral. RNAcentral also lists the same sequence under 1 other name.
UCUGUCGUAGUUUAGGUGGUUAGGAUACUCGGCUCUCACCUGAGAGACCUGGGUUCAAGUCCUGUCGAUGGAA